GACAAUUCCCCUUCUACGCAGCCGGCUAUGCCGCACAUCGCUGGUGAUGAUGAUGGUGGUGGUGUCGCCUGUGGAUUUAAUGUCGGCGGCAUAGAUCGGAAGACGGGAGGACGGCGUAACGAAGACGGUUACUAGGCUGUGGUGGUGAAAACAGACAGCCAUGUCCAGAUUAUGUCUCCGGCGCAGAAAGAAACCAGAGGAGAGUAACAUAACCGGUUGUAGUUGCCCACCAGGUUUUUGUGUAGAUGACCGUACUGGUGAAGAUAUCAACGAGUGCAAGGAAGUAUAGCAUGUCGAUGUCACGGGUGUACGUGUAAAGACACUUAUGAUGGACAUGAAUGCAAAUGCAAGGACAAACUGUAUACAACCGAUCGUCAUUUUUGGGUAAAUUUAGUGGAUCUGAACAUCGGUUGAUGCGUUUAA
Long non-coding RNA from Helianthus annuus (common sunflower), 423 nucleotides. RefSeq lists it as uncharacterized. NCBI's taxonomy places the organism in Eukaryota, Viridiplantae, Streptophyta, Magnoliopsida, Asterales, Asteraceae. The transcript is spliced from 4 exons. The record is from RefSeq and is a predicted model, not a curated record.